Molecule: long non-coding RNA, 846 nt
Filed under: Helianthus annuus (common sunflower)
Lineage: Eukaryota; Viridiplantae; Streptophyta; Magnoliopsida; Asterales; Asteraceae
Description: hypothetical non coding rna
Source: RNAcentral
ACCAUUCACGCUCCAAACUUCCAAAGCAGAACCCUAAAAGAAACUCUCCAUCUCCAUUCUCAUUUCUCCAGCACUCAGCAGCCGGCAACCAUCGCCCAGCAGCCAUCGUCUGUUGUGUUCGCCUGGUCCAUUCAUCGUUCUCAUCUAGUCAUCUGUUCUGUUCGUUUGUUGUCCGCCGGCAACCAUCGCCCAGCAGCCGUUAACCAGCAGCCGUCAACCAGCAGCCACAUCAGUUCUGUUCGUCUGUUGUCCGCCCAGCAGCCAUCGUCCAGCAGCCAUCAGUUCUGUUCGCCUGUUUCUGAUUCAUCGAUUGAUUCACGGGUUCUGAUUCAACUUAUCGAUACCCAUAUCUUUCAAUCGAAAUGUCAUGUGCUUGCCUUUAAGUGAUUUAGCUCAUGUGGAUGUACUGUUACUGUCGUUCCUUUGUAUUUUGGUCUUCUAAAAUCAGAAAGUCAGAAUCACCCAAGGCUUUUGGAUUCAUUUAAUCAGAUAUGAAGGAGGUUGUUUAUUGCAAGCUGGAAGAAAUUCGUCAGAUGAGAGCGGCUCUGAAUCUAGCGAAACCUCAUCUGGACCUGAUCUAACUUCGCCUCGAAACCCUAGCGUUUGCCAAUCUGUAUCAAGAUUCCUCCAUGUUAACCUUCAAAAGGUUUGAAUGUUUGGAAUUGAAGAAUGAAGAUCUUGAGAAAGAAAGGCAUUUGGGAACUUGGAUUUUGAAACUAUUUGGAUAUUAUGAUUAGACUUUUAUGGAUUUCGUUUUAAGUUUGUUAAGACAUUAUGUGUUUAUGCAUUUUUAUGACUUUUGUGAACCUUUGGUGACUAAAUUUUCAUUAAACAGGUUCCUUAAUU